Mercenaria mercenaria is the source of this 6911-nucleotide long non-coding RNA. RefSeq lists it as uncharacterized. The transcript has 10 exons. NCBI's taxonomy places the organism in Eukaryota, Metazoa, Mollusca, Bivalvia, Venerida, Veneridae. The record is from RefSeq and is a predicted model, not a curated record.
UAUGUUAUAUAGGGAAAAAUUUCUUUUGUAUGGCAGAUCAUGCUGCAGUGAGAAACCAAGAAAUUCCUAUUGUUGUGUGCCAUUGAGUGUCAUGGAAAAAGGAUAUGGAUUCAGGGAUAAGGAUGUGUGAAGCUGCAGGAAAGCAAGCUGGGAGCUAUAUAACCAGAAUUCCAGGAGAAUCGGGCUGUAGGUCUGUGAAGGGUAUUGUUAUGAGAUGUAGGGAGUUGCUCAACAGAUUGAAUUGUUAAUUGUGAAAUAGCAGUGAGGCAGAAUGGCUACAAAACAUAGACUUCAGAAGAGAAGGCCUGUAUUCUACAUGCUGUAUUAAGGGAACAAUAUUGGAUUUUCAGAUUUCAUGCAAAUGAUAGAAAACAUUUAACAAGUUUAUACUGGGCACUGAACAAUAUGGCAUACAGAAGUUUGGAUUCUUUUGGCUGGAUAGUUUGUACAGUAUGGUGAAACUAGAGGAUGAAAGCUCACAUACAAGUAGCAAGUCCUCAGUUUCUAGUUAGGAUGAGUUGACAGUGUUUGUACAAGAGAAUGCCUUGUCAAGGUUUGUGUUUGGUCAGUGUCAUCUGAACGUGUCUAGCACCACAGUCCAUAGAGUACAGAAACUUCUCACUGCUGCAUACAACUCUGACUGUGAGCCUUACUCAAAACCCCAUAAUGAACAAAUCUCAACAAGCUACAGUAUUACAUCCGUGUUUGGUCUGCAGGUAACAAGUCAGCAGUUUGACCUCCAGAUCACAUCAACAGUGUACUCUCGUAAAUUGGUACAGCUUGUGAGCAAGAUAACAGGUCCUUCUAGCAGCCUACUGCAUCACUGCCACUUACACACUCAGAUGAAGGAUAACCUCCAGCAGUAAAAGAUAUAAAGGUUCACUGCAGUUUUGACAAUGUCCAACAAGUAUUGUGCCCAUACUAUGCUCAGCAUGUAGGGUCCUUGUAUUUUAAGCCAACACAUAAAUGCAGAUUCUUUGGAGUUGCUGUGAAUCCUCAUGCAGGCUCUCAGAUUUUCUACCUAGUGUAUGAAAAGUACAGUACUGCUGUUGGAAGGGGAGCAAACACUGUGGUAUAUGGUCCACCAUCACUUCAAGCAUCAUGGCUAUGGAGAAAAGAAUUUUUAAUUACAUAUAGACAUAAUAAGUUAAAGAAGAAAUAUUUAUUAAGUACACAGAAUUUGAUGUUGAAAUAUUUAAUUUCACAGUGUGAUCAUACACUUCAGUUUGGAAAGUCACUGCUUUCCAUUUUAUAUAUAUAAUGUGCAUACUUUUAUGUAAAUGAAAAAUCAUAUCUCCACUGACAAACAUUGAUUUACAAUUUGAAUAUUGCAUACUUACACAACAUUCUUUAUUAAGAUUUAGCUGUAUAUGUUAGAAAUUCAACUGUGUAGCUAGCAUUUAAUGGUUUUAAUAAAGUGAUGCUAUGUUAUAUUCUAAGGACUACAGUAUUGCUACUUUCAAAUAAUUCAUUGUUUAAAUAUACCUUUAUUGUACCCCCCGACAUCAAAGUUGUAAGGGGGGGUAUACUGGUUUCAGGUUGUCUGUCUGUCUGUCCGUAGACGCAAUCUUGUGCGCACAAUCUCUCCUUAUCCCCUUGACAGAAUUUAAUGAAACUUCACACAAGUGAUCAGUACCAACAGUAGUUGUGCAUGGGGCAUGUUAGGUUCUUUUAGAAAAAAAAUUUGCAGAGUUAUGGGACUUUGUUUUUUUGUUACUAUACUAUAUACAUAGACACAAUCUUGUGCGCACCAUCUCUCCUCAUCCCCUUGACACAAUUUAAUGAAACUUCACACAAGUGAUCAGUAACAACAGUAGUUGUGGAUGGGGCAUGUUAGGUUCUUUUAGAAAAAAAAUUUGCAGAGUUAUGGGACUUUGUUUUUUUGUUACUAUACUAUAUACAUAGACACAAUCUUGUGCGCACCAUCUCUCCUCAUCCCCUUGACACAAUUUAAUGAAACUUCACACAAGUGAUCAAUAACAAAAAUUGUUUUGCAUGGGGCAUGUUAGGUUCUUUCAGAAAAAAAAUUUGCAGAGUUAUGGGACUUUGUUUUUUUGUUACUAUACUAUAUACAUAGACACAAUCUUGUGCGCACCAUCUCUCCUCAUCCCCUUGACACAAUUUAAUGAAACUUCACACAAGUUAUCAGUAACAACAGUAGUUGUGCAUGGGGCAUGUUAGGUUCUUUCAGCGACAAAAAUUGCAGAGUUAUGGGACUUUGUUUCUUGUUAAAAUACUAUGUACAUACAGUCUGCAUAUGCAAUCUUGUGCGUGCCUAAUCUACCAAACCCUUGCACACAAUUUAAUGAAACUUCACACAAGUGAUCAGUACAAACCCUAGUUGUGCAUGGUGCAUGUUACAUUCUUUUAGAUAAAUAUUCUGCACAGUUAUGGGACUUUGUUUUUUGUUACUAUACUGUAUACAUACAGUCUAUAUAAUUAUGCAAUCUUGUGUGCGUCAAAUUGCAAUGUACUGUGUCAGUGCAUGCGGGGGGUCCAUUCAUCACCUUUAGUGAUAGCUCUAGUUUUAGUUAUGGAAUGUGGCUUGUUAUAAUGAUGGGUCUACAUGAUGACUUGUGUACAACCUGAUGGAGGCCGGGCAUACAGAUUUCAGUCCUGAACAUGUUUAGAAUGUCUUCUGCAUGACCUGGUAUGGUAUUCUUGAAGGAUUGUAACUUCAACAGAGAGACGGAGAUUAAUAUUUUCAGGCAGGGGGUCGGUAUGACGAGUAAAUUCCCCAGCUGUAUUACCAUUCCUGAGCUGGAUGCCAGUCGACAGUGGUGCCUGUAUAAUGAAAUAGCGCCUCUUUGCAGCAAUAGCAAUGUAUGCUCAAAACCAGCAGUGCCAAAGCCAUUAAAAUUGAGAACUUAGUCAUUUAAAUUGAAGAAUUAAUGGAAAAAAAUGUUUAACAUUUUAAGUAAUACAGAGAAAGAGCUUGGCUUAUUUUGUAUUUUCUGAAAUUUUAAUUAAUGUGAAAAUGUUUUUGAAUUUUUAACGAUGUACUAUACCCAAAUUUCAUAUAUUUGAAUAUGAACAAGUGCUACAUGUACUUUAUGUAUACAUUGAAUUAACAAGUUUAUGGUGUCAACAGUACUAUGCAUUGGUUAAAUAUAGAACACACUGUAUGUAUGUAAGGCUAUACACAGUAUAAAUGUGAAAUUCCUCUAAAACACUGGAAGAUUUUCCAGCAAAUUUACUGUUUAGUACUGUAGCUCUACAUACACAGUUGAUUUAUACAUUAAUCAAAGUUAAAUAUAUCUAAUGAUGAUUUUCUACAUUUGAAGUAAUUACCUAAAUAUUAAAUAUUUUAGUGAACAUAUAUUUUAUGCAACUAUAGAAGUUGAAAAAAAAGCUUCCCUCCAGGAAGAUAGAAGUUGAAAAAAAACUUCCCUCCAGGAAGAAUAUUUUUGAAUUGAUACUUUUACUUGAAAAUUUAUGUAAAAUGAAGGAAAUAGAUGUCAAAAUGAAUUCUUUAUUUAAGAAAUUUUGUUGCCAUGGAAACAGAACUUGAAUAUUGAGUAUGUCUGCUUUCAUACCAGAGUAAUAUGACUUUUAAUUAUAAUUAUGUAAACAGUUUAAUGUUACAUGUAUAUAAUCAUCACUAAAACUUUUAAAUUUCAGUUGACACCGUCAUUGAGCAAUGCAUCUUACAUUUGAAAUUGAAUGACACAUUACAGAUAUUAGAUGUUUAUGGAAUCGCUUUAGAUAUUUUUGAGAUGAAUAUAAAUCAGAAAAAAAGCAUGAAUUUUUGUUCUUCUAGAGAACUCACGUAUAUAAUUAUAUUUUAAUUUAGGUUGUUCUUUUUUUUGCAUCAAAUGUAGGCUGAAAUGUCUGUUGAAUUGACAUUUAAAGCAGUUGUUGUAUUUUGUUGCUAUGGAAACAUGAAUUAUGACAAUUUUUAUACGCCCGUUUGAAAAACGGGACGUAUUAUGGGAACGCCCCUGGCGGGCGGAUGGGCAGGCGGGCGGCGUCCACAGACCUUGUCCGGAGCAUAUCUUCUACAUGCAUGGAGGGAUUUUGAUGAAACUUGGCACAGUUGUUCACCAUCAUGAGACGGAGUGUCAUGCGCAAGAACCAGGUCCCUAGGUCUAAGGUCAAGGUCACACUUAGAGGUUAAAGGUCAAAUUCAAGAAUGACUUUGUCCGGAGCAUAUCUUCUUCAUGCAUGGAGGAAUUUUGAUGAAAGUUGGCACAAUUGUUUAUCAUCAUGAGACGGAGUGUUAUGCGCAAAAACCAGGUCCCUAGGUCUAAGGUCAAGGUCACACUUAGAGGUCAAAGGAUACAAGAAUGAAAAAUUCAAGAAUGACUUUGUCCGGAGCAUAUCUUCUUCAUGCAUGGAAGGAUUUUGAUGUAGCUUGGCACAUUUGUUCACCAUAAUGAGAGGGAGUGUCAUGCGCAAGAACCAGGUCCCUAGGUCUAAGGUCAAGGUCACACUUAGAGGUCAAAGGAUGCAAGAAUGAAAACUUUGUCCGGAGCAUAUCUUCUUCAUGCAUUGAGGGAUUUUGAUACAACUAAGCACAAAUGUUCACAAGCAUGAGACGGAGUGUCAUGCUCAAGAACCAGGUCCCUAGGUCUAAGGUCAAGGUCACACUUAGAGGCCAAAGGUCAGAUACAAGAAUGACCUUGUCCGGAGCAUUUCUUCUUCAUGCAUGGAGGGAUUUUGAUGUAACUUGGCACAAUUGUACACCAUCAUGAGACGGAGUGUCAUGCACUGGUCUCUUCUUUUGAAUUACUUUCCUUUGCUGUUACUAUAAAUAGCUUAUAUUGUAACUUUUUCAUUACAAGCCGUAGGGAAAAAUCGAGACCACUUUUCUGUAGUACAACAUGCAUGUUACAUCCAAUUCUGAGGUGUAUUUUGAGCUAUCUCUACCUGGUUAGGAUUUUUAUAUGGACUUGUAAUUUUUUUUUUUUAAUUUUUUUUUUUUUUUUCUUCUCUCUCUCUCUUUAAAGAUUAACUUCCCUUAGUUGUUACUAUAAAUAACUGACAUUGUAACUUUUUUAUAAUUGACGCUAGGGAAAAACCAAGACCACUUUUCUGUGGUACAACAUUGAUGUUACUUUCAAAUUUUGGGUGUAUUUUAAGGUAUCUCUACCUGGUAAGGAUUUUUUUUGUGGACUUAGAAAAAUAAAAGAAUUACAAUAAUUUCUAAAAAAAAAAAAACAUUGUAAACAACUAGAAAAUUAAAAUUCCAUUUGCAAAUACAGGUGCUAGUGUAAAGAAAUUUACUGUGACGGGCGUAUAUUGUGACAUUCUGGCACUCUUGUUUGAAUAUGAAAUAGCAUAUUUAUACUCAAUUUAUAGCAAGUAGGCAUUAUCAACUGUGCUAAUCAUGUUAAAUACUUUUGAUAUUGAUGACAAAAUAUGAAAUUAAAAUAUAUAUGAUGAAAGUACAUGAUUUUAGUAUUUGUCAUUAUUAUUAAACAAAAAGUGCAAGUUUGCGAUUGGGAAGUAUUGUAAAAAAAUGCUGUAAUUUUGUUAUUUUUAAACAUGCAGGUCUAAAAUUUUGAAUUUAUGUUAAGGACACAUCUACAGUUCAGAAUAUGUGAAAAACUCAGUUUCUAUGAAAAUGUCAUUUGGGACCAUUUUGUCAUGGCUUGUUACAUUUUUUCAGUCCUAUAUUUCUCACUUCAACAUAAAUGGAUGACUGUUGUUUGAAUACAUGUUAUGGUAUAUUUAAGUGAUGUGCAGAUCAUCUAUGAUAGUUACUAUGGUUACCAAGUUCCCAUUUAAAGAUGCUACCCUUCAGUCACUGAGCUUCCUGAAACCAGACCGAAGGGAUACUGUCACACCUGAAGAAGUUGCCAUCUGUUUGUCUGGUUUGUUAGUGUUUCCCAGGUUGAUGAGUAUGAAGGUCAACUUACUGAACUGACCAAACCAGAUCAACUAGAGACAUACUGGGCAUCUAUCGGGGAAGUGAAGGUCCACACUGGAAAGGAGAGGUGUCUUGAACUGAGUAAAAUGGCUUUACUUCUCUUAUCACUACCGCACAGCAGUGCUGAUCCAGAGCCGUCCUUCAGCAUACUGAGGAAGAUACAGGCUGACAGCAGGAACAACACAGCUCUGGAAACCAUUCAGAACUUGAUGUCUGUGAAAAUGAACUAUCACUCUAUAUGUUCAACAUUCUCUUCAUCUCAUGAACUUAUUAGAUAGGAAAAGUCAGUGUGUAAUGUAUACAUUCGUAAGUGAAGACAGCAUAAACAAUGUGUUACUUCUUGAAAUACUAAAUUGUGCUUUUAGUAUUUUUAGUGUCUAUAGUUUAUUGGAGAGAACUCUAGUGAUUUGUAUUCAUUGUGAUAUCUGGAUAAGAUAGAACGAAAGAUAAUAUAAAAUUUUGAUUUUGUCUCUAAAAUUGUGUUUUUUGCUUGACAUUAUGAAGUAUAUGGAGAGCUAUCCUACUCACCCCAGCGUCAGCGUCCUUCCGCAUCCCUACAUUAUAUUGCACAAGGGCCAUAACUCUCACACCAAUAUUUUUUAAUUAUCUCCCUUCGAAGGAGUUUCCGGACGAUGACUUGAAAAUGUUUGGGCCUAGGAUAAUGAAACUUGAUUGGGAGGUUGAUCAUGAUCAGGAGAUGACCCCUAUUCAUGUUGAGGUCAGUAGGUCUAAGGUCAAGGUCACAGUGACCUAGAACAGUUAAAUGGUUUCUGGAUGAUAAAUCAAGAACGCUUAAGCCUAGGAUCAUGAAAAAUGACAGGAAGGUUGGUCAUGACCAGCAGUUGACCCUUAUUGAUUCUGAGUUCAAUAGGUCAAAGGUCAAGGUCACAUUGACCCAGAACAGUAGAACUUUUGUAUCCAAUGACCAAAUAAUUUCUGUUCCUUGUGCAAUUAUUGAAUUCAUCAAGGGGACAUUUCGUAUUCUACGAGCUCUUGUUUACUUAGAAUUUCAGGUUAAUGUUUUGAUGCACUUUCACUC